GUUUUCCACUUUCACCCUGAUUCGAGUUUGAAACUCGAAACCCUAAUCGCAUCCGCGAUUUAUUUGGCGCUAAAGCAAAGAUUCCACCUUUGGGGAGAUCGGUUCGAUCCAAGGAAUGGAUGCGGAUGGCGACAAAGUCAUCGACAAGUGGGUAUGCGAAUUCGUGCUCCGUCGGCAACAAAAUCCUAGGGUUUGCGGGAAGAGGCUGUUGUCAACGCUGAGACUGGAAGAGGACGAUGGCUGCACCACCCUCAAGAAAUCGGCGGUUCUUCGUGACAUAUGGAAUCGCUUGAUUCAGGGAAUCGUGGACGAGCGAAUCCUUGACCUCCUCGAGCUGUUCGAGAAGCUUCAACUACAUGAAGGUUCUGCAAUUUUAGAGUCCCUCAAGUCUGCCUACUGCUGGGCAGCUGCCGAAUGUACGGUUAGGUAUAUGUUGGCUGUGGACGCCGUGGAAGCUUUUCUCUACUGGGAAGCCCUGCAGAGGAUCUGGGACCUGAGAAUCGGCCUUCUGAAUGAAAGAGAUAGCGUCUUGGUGACUCAAGAGCUCAUCGACUGGGGUUAUAACCUCAAGAAUGCCAUUGAUGAUUCCGAAUUAUACCAGCGGCUUCGCCAGAUUAAUACCAGGUACUUUGCUAUCUCUUAUCUUUGUGAGUUUGUCAAAGAGCACUGGGUGCUCGUGGGCUCUCCAUAUCUAGAACUAGAAGCCAGUAGGAGGUUCCGACACAAGGGAAAUGAUACAAAUGUGGAGCGGAACCCGGAUGAUGUUCGAAACGGAGAAACGUCACCGAGACCUAAUGAUGCUCAUCAAUGCCCGGGGCAUUUGGAGGAUGACCCCAUCGAUAACACGAAUGGGCAGUCUGUAUUCAAUGUUGGUCAACAGGAACAUGAGCAGAGUGAUAAUAAGGGGAAACCCUCAGUGGCUCAGGAGCUGAAAGAGGAUUUGUUGGAGGUAGAGGCGCUGAUCAAUGGCCUUACCCGGGAUGGGAUUGACGACGACCAGACGUCGGAACAACAUUCUACCAGUGUUACCCCUCAACGUCUUCAGGCCGGUGUCAGAGGUCAAGAUUACAACAAAGAACCCGAGAAUGUAAAUGAGCGAGCUUCUGAUAGUGAAGGAACAUUGUCCGGGACAGUUAGGCCUCAUCUGCCAAACAUUAAAUCAUUCAGUGUAUCCCCGUUAAGGAAAGGUCGAAUGCCUAAACCCCAAAGCAGUGCUGACAGAAGGCUGAGGAAAGGUUGGACUCGUGAAGAAGUACAAACCCUAAGGGAAGGCGUGAAGGAGUAUGGAAAAUCCUGGAAAGCUAUAAAGGAGGCUUACCCCGAAUUGUUCGCGAAUAGGACUCCGGUUGAUUUGAAGGAUAAAUGGAGGAACUUAGUUGCUUGACAAAGAAGAAGACUCUCUAUAUAGGUUUAUCUGGAGAUUUCUGGUUAAUGUGGUGAUAAUGUACCGCCUGAUUGCUACGAAAACUGUGUCUAUAUCGCGUUCUGCCACUGAGGCGUGUUGUGUUGCAGCCACAUCGUUUAAGUUUUAGCAGGUUAGGGCUUUCUCCUUUUGGAAUGAAGAAAAACUGUAGGCAUUGGCUCUAUGGUAGGCACUGGCUGUCUUUGGUUGAACUCGUAAAUGUUGCAAAGCUGAUAAGCAAAAGAAUGUUAGCUGCGUAGGAUUCUGGUUCUUGUCUUGUAAACAUGCUUGGUGUUGUGUUGUGAAUUUUGGUUUGUACGUAA
Molecule: RNA transcript, 1725 nt
Organism: Tarenaya hassleriana
Lineage: Eukaryota; Viridiplantae; Streptophyta; Magnoliopsida; Brassicales; Cleomaceae
Exons: 6
Source: RefSeq, a predicted model, not a curated record